Molecule: unclassified non-coding RNA, 350 nt
Filed under: soil metagenome
Description: partial contains 5.8S ribosomal RNA, internal transcribed spacer 2, and large subunit ribosomal RNA
Rfam family: 5.8S ribosomal RNA (bases 1-120)
Source: RNAcentral
GAUGAAGAACGUAGCGAAAUGCGAUAAGUAAUGCGAAUUGCAGAAUCCGUGAGUCAUCGAAUCUUUGAACGCACAUUGCGCCCCUUGGUUAUUCCGAAGGGCAUGCCUGUUCGAGCGUCAUUAUCACCCCUCAAGCCCUGGCUUGGUGUUGGACUUUAGUUAUAGCUUUGCCUAUCAACUGGUCUCAAAGAUAGUGACGGCGCCCCAGAGGGAACCGGGUACGAGGAGCUUUUUACUAAGCAUGUAUCUGGGACGACUCUGGGCGACGGUCUUGUUAUACUUUUUACCUAAGUGUUGACCUCGGAUCAGGUAGGAAUACCCGCUGAACUUAAGCAUAUCAAUAAGCGGAG